This is a long non-coding RNA of Gadus macrocephalus (Pacific cod), 959 nucleotides long. RefSeq lists it as uncharacterized. The record is from RefSeq and is a predicted model, not a curated record. The transcript has 7 exons. Lineage: Eukaryota; Metazoa; Chordata; Actinopteri; Gadiformes; Gadidae.
ACCGUUGCUCAGGGCAACAACUCAUAUAACGCCUUCACGUCUCUUUAAUUCGGCCCGAUUCGUUCAGUGAGCAGCUGUGUAGCUACUUAUGUUUUAUGCCAACUACUGAUGGACAGCGGAGAGAGGCCCCAUCUUCAUUCUCCUCACGCCAGUCCGGUCGGUCCAGCGUCCGUCUGAAACAUGACUAUGAAGGAAAUAAACCAGGUCAUCUCUGAGCUAAAAAAGGAAAACUUCAAUCUGAAACUUCGUGUAUUCUUCUGCGAGGACAGCCUCCAGCGGCAGAGUGGCGGACCUGCUGGGGAGGCCGACGUCCGCCGCACGGUACGUAGUUAACAUAGGCCUACAUACAUAAAAGAGACACUGCCUCGACCCGGUACGGCCACUGGGCCGCCAAAUUGAGGAGGCCGAGACUGGCCUAACGAUUAAUAUUGACCUGCAGGUGGAGGUAGAGAUGCUGAGAGAGCACGUUAAGAAGCUACAGAAGGCCUUGUCUGAAUCGCAAGAACAAACGCGACGUCAGACACCUGAAUCCAACAGACGAAUUUCAAAACUGGAGAAGGAUUUACUGGUAGGGUACAAGAAAGAGCCGGAAGAAAAAUACGCAUUGGUUGAGCUCAGAAUGAAGGACCUGGAGACCGGCAAUCUGAACCUGGAAGCUCAAUUGCAAGAAAAAUCUCAAGUUGUACUGGCCUUGGAGAAGGAGCUGGAAAACGAGAAACUAAAAUGCGGCGCUAGACUCAAUGAAGUUCAAGAUGAGUUGGCUGAGUGUUUGUCCGAAAAAGAUUUUCUACUGUCCGAGAAAGAGGUCGUAGCGGAGGCGCAUGAAGACACCAUCAAGUCCCUGACAUGCAGGCUAAAGCAACACAAAUGUGUGUGUAUUGAAAAAACUGGCGGUGUGCAACAAGAGCAGCUGAAAGACAUUGAUGAGCUCCUGGAUGAAUUAAUCAAAGUGUCUCUUG